RNAcentral lists this transfer RNA (66 nucleotides) under Geukensia demissa (ribbed mussel). Its description in RNAcentral is "tRNA-Gln". Lineage: Eukaryota; Metazoa; Mollusca; Bivalvia; Mytilida; Mytilidae. The record is from RNAcentral.
UGUAAAGCAGUAUUUGAUGUACGUUAGAUUUUGAAUUUUUUAGAAUAAAGUUAUUUUUCUUUACAA